RNAcentral lists this ribosomal RNA (446 nucleotides) under uncultured bacterium. RNAcentral describes it as "bacterial SSU rRNA". It matches the Rfam family "Bacterial small subunit ribosomal RNA", at positions 335 to 797 of the family's 1533-position model. The record is from RNAcentral.
ACUCCUACGGGAGGCAGCAGUUAGGAAUCUUGCGCAAUGGGCGAAAGCCUGACGCAGCAACGCCGCGUGUGGGAUGAAGGCUUUCGGGUUGUAAACCACUUUCAGUAGGAACGAAAUUGACGGUACCUACAGAAGAAGCUCCGGCCAACUACGUGCCAGCAGCCGCGGUAAUACGUAGGGAGCGAGCGUUGUCCGGAUUUAUUGGGCGUAAAGAGCUCGUAGGCGGCUUAGAAAGUCAGGUGUGAAACCUCCAGGCUCAACCUGGAGACGCCACUUGAUACUUCUAUGGCUAGAGUUCGGUAGGGGACCACGGAAUUCCUGGUGUAGCGGUGAAAUGCGCAGAUAUCAGGAGGAACACCGAUGGCGAAGGCAGUGGUCUGGGCCGAAACUGACGCUGAGGAGCGAAAGCAUGGGGAGCGAACAGGAUUAGAUACCCUGGUAGCGAG